Molecule: ribosomal RNA, 253 nt
Filed under: uncultured bacterium
Lineage: Bacteria
Description: partial 16S ribosomal RNA
Rfam family: Bacterial small subunit ribosomal RNA
Source: RNAcentral
UACGUAGGGGGCAAGCGUUGUCCGGAAUCAUUGGGCGUAAAGAGCGUGUAGGCGGCUCGAUAAGUCCGCUGGGAAAGUCCAAGGCUCAACCCUGGAAGGCCGGUGGAAACUGUCGGGCUAGAGUCCGGAAGAGGCGAGUGGAAUUCCCGGUGUAGCGGUGAAAUGCGCAGAUAUCGGGAGGAACACCAAUGGCGAAGGCAGCUCGCUGGGACGGUACUGACGCUGAGACGCGAAAGCGUGGGGAGCAAACAGG